RNAcentral lists this transfer RNA (74 nucleotides) under Sus scrofa (pig). It matches the Rfam family "tRNA". From Rfam's summary of the family: Transfer RNA (tRNA) molecules are approximately 80 nucleotides in length. Their secondary structure includes four short double-helical elements and three loops (D, anti-codon, and T loops). Further hydrogen bonds mediate the characteristic L-shaped molecular structure. tRNAs have two regions of fundamental functional importance: the anti-codon, which is responsible for specific mRNA codon recognition, and the 3' end, to which the tRNAs corresponding amino acid is attached (by aminoacyl-tRNA synthetases). tRNAs cope with the degeneracy of the genetic code in two manners: having more than one tRNA (with a specific anti-codon) for a particular amino acid; and 'wobble' base-pairing, i.e. permitting non-standard base-pairing at the 3rd anti-codon position. The record is from Rfam by way of RNAcentral. Lineage: Eukaryota; Metazoa; Chordata; Mammalia; Artiodactyla; Suidae.
UCCCUGGUGGCCUAGUGCUUAAAGGUUUCGGCGUUGUCACUGCUGUGGCUCAGGUUCGAUUCCUGGCCUGGAAU